Molecule: ribosomal RNA, 254 nt
Filed under: uncultured bacterium
Lineage: Bacteria
Description: partial 16S ribosomal RNA
Rfam family: Bacterial small subunit ribosomal RNA
Source: RNAcentral
UACGGGGGGAGCAAGCGUUGUUCGGAUUUACUGGGCGUAAAGGGCGCGUAGGCGGCCACCGCAAGUCGGUUGUGAAAUCUCUGGGCUUAACCCAGAAAGGUCAACCGAUACUGCGGGGCUAGAGUGCAGAAGGGGCAACUGGAAUUCUCGGUGUAGCGGUGAAAUGCGUAGAUAUCGAGAGGAACACCUGCGGCGAAGGCGGCCCUCUGGACCAGCACUGACGCUGAGGCACGAAAGCGUGGGGAGCAAACAGG